Molecule: ribosomal RNA, 446 nt
Filed under: uncultured bacterium
Lineage: Bacteria
Description: partial 16S ribosomal RNA
Rfam family: Bacterial small subunit ribosomal RNA
Source: RNAcentral
CCUACGGGCGGCAGCAGUCGAGAAUCAUUCACAAUGGGGGAAACCCUGAUGCUGCGACGCCGCGUGGGGGAAUGAAGGUCUUCGGAUUUUAAACCCCUGUCAUGUGGACGAACAUAAGAAAGUACGUCCCGCAAGAGGAAGAGCCAGCUACCUCUGUGCCAGCGGCCGCGGUAAUACGUAGGUCUCAAGCGUUGUUCGGAAUCACUGGGCGUAAAGCGUGCGUAGGCUGUUUUGUAAGUCGUGUGUGAAAGGCGCGGGCUCAACCCGCGGACGGCACAUGAUACUGCGUGACUAGAGUAAUGGAGGGGGAACCGGAAUUCCGGGUGUAGCAGUGAAAUGCGUAGAUAUAGAGAGGAACACUCGUGGCGAAGGCGGGUUCCUGGACAUUAACUGACGCUGAGGCACGAAGGCCAGGGGAGCGAAAGGGAUUAGAUACCCGGGUAGUC